RNAcentral lists this ribosomal RNA (2929 nucleotides) under Escherichia coli. RNAcentral describes it as "23S ribosomal RNA". It matches the Rfam family "Bacterial large subunit ribosomal RNA". The record is from RNAcentral. Lineage: Bacteria; Pseudomonadati; Pseudomonadota; Gammaproteobacteria; Enterobacterales; Enterobacteriaceae.
GGGUUGUGAGGUUAAGCGACUAAGCGUACACGGUGGAUGCCCUGGCAGUCAGAGGCGAUGAAGGACGUGCUAAUCUGCGAUAAGCGUCGGUAAGGUGAUAUGAACCGUUAUAACCGGCGAUUUCCGAAUGGGGAAACCCAGUGUGUUUCGACACACUAUCAUUAACUGAAUCCAUAGGUUAAUGAGGCGAACCGGGGGAACUGAAACAUCUAAGUACCCCGAGGAAAAGAAAUCAACCGAGAUUCCCCCAGUAGCGGCGAGCGAACGGGGAGCAGCCCAGAGCCUGAAUCAGUGUGUGUGUUAGUGGAAGCGUCUGGAAAGGCGCGCGAUACAGGGUGACAGCCCCGUACACAAAAAUGCACAUGCUGUGAGCUCGAUGAGUAGGGCGGGACACGUGGUAUCCUGUCUGAAUAUGGGGGGACCAUCCUCCAAGGCUAAAUACUCCUGACUGACCGAUAGUGAACCAGUACCGUGAGGGAAAGGCGAAAAGAACCCCGGCGAGGGGAGUGAAAAAGAACCUGAAACCGUGUACGUACAAGCAGUGGGAGCCUCUUUUAUGGGGUGACUGCGUACCUUUUGUAUAAUGGGUCAGCGACUUAUAUUCUGUAGCAAGGUUAACCGAAUAGGGGAGCCGAAGGGAAACCGAGUCUUAACUGGGCGUUAAGUUGCAGGGUAUAGACCCGAAACCCGGUGAUCUAGCCAUGGGCAGGUUGAAGGUUGGGUAACACUAACUGGAGGACCGAACCGACUAAUGUUGAAAAAUUAGCGGAUGACUUGUGGCUGGGGGUGAAAGGCCAAUCAAACCGGGAGAUAGCUGGUUCUCCCCGAAAGCUAUUUAGGUAGCGCCUCGUGAAUUCAUCUCCGGGGGUAGAGCACUGUUUCGGCAAGGGGGUCAUCCCGACUUACCAACCCGAUGCAAACUGCGAAUACCGGAGAAUGUUAUCACGGGAGACACACGGCGGGUGCUAACGUCCGUCGUGAAGAGGGAAACAACCCAGACCGCCAGCUAAGGUCCCAAAGUCAUGGUUAAGUGGGAAACGAUGUGGGAAGGCCCAGACAGCCAGGAUGUUGGCUUAGAAGCAGCCAUCAUUUAAAGAAAGCGUAAUAGCUCACUGGUCGAGUCGGCCUGCGCGGAAGAUGUAACGGGGCUAAACCAUGCACCGAAGCUGCGGCAGCGACACUAUGUGUUGUUGGGUAGGGGAGCGUUCUGUAAGCCUGUGAAGGUGUGCUGUGAGGCAUGCUGGAGGUAUCAGAAGUGCGAAUGCUGACAUAAGUAACGAUAAAGCGGGUGAAAAGCCCGCUCGCCGGAAGACCAAGGGUUCCUGUCCAACGUUAAUCGGGGCAGGGUGAGUCGACCCCUAAGGCGAGGCCGAAAGGCGUAGUCGAUGGGAAACAGGUUAAUAUUCCUGUACUUGGUGUUACUGCGAAGGGGGGACGGAGAAGGCUAUGUUGGCCGGGCGACGGUUGUCCCGGUUUAAGCGUGUAGGCUGGUUUUCCAGGCAAAUCCGGAAAAUCAAGGCUGAGGCGUGAUGACGAGGCACUACGGUGCUGAAGCAACAAAUGCCCUGCUUCCAGGAAAAGCCUCUAAGCAUCAGGUAACAUCAAAUCGUACCCCAAACCGACACAGGUGGUCAGGUAGAGAAUACCAAGGCGCUUGAGAGAACUCGGGUGAAGGAACUAGGCAAAAUGGUGCCGUAACUUCGGGAGAAGGCACGCUGAUAUGUAGGUGAAGUCCCUCGCGGAUGGAGCUGAAAUCAGUCGAAGAUACCAGCUGGCUGCAACUGUUUAUUAAAAACACAGCACUGUGCAAACACGAAAGUGGACGUAUACGGUGUGACGCCUGCCCGGUGCCGGAAGGUUAAUUGAUGGGGUCAGCGCAAGCGAAGCUCUUGAUCGAAGCCCCGGUAAACGGCGGCCGUAACUAUAACGGUCCUAAGGUAGCGAAAUUCCUUGUCGGGUAAGUUCCGACCUGCACGAAUGGCGUAAUGAUGGCCAGGCUGUCUCCACCCGAGACUCAGUGAAAUUGAACUCGCUGUGAAGAUGCAGUGUACCCGCGGCAAGACGGAAAGACCCCGUGAACCUUUACUAUAGCUUGACACUGAACAUUGAGCCUUGAUGUGUAGGAUAGGUGGGAGGCUUAGAAGUGUGGACGCCAGUCUGCAUGGAGCCGACCUUGAAAUACCACCCUUUAAUGUUUGAUGUUCUAACGUUGACCCGUAAUCCGGGUUGCGGACAGUGUCUGGUGGGUAGUUUGACUGGGGCGGUCUCCUCCUAAAGAGUAACGGAGGAGCACGAAGGUUGGCUAAUCCUGGUCGGACAUCAGGAGGUUAGUGCAAUGGCAUAAGCCAGCUUGACUGCGAGCGUGACGGCGCGAGCAGGUGCGAAAGCAGGUCAUAGUGAUCCGGUGGUUCUGAAUGGAAGGGCCAUCGCUCAACGGAUAAAAGGUACUCCGGGGAUAACAGGCUGAUACCGCCCAAGAGUUCAUAUCGACGGCGGUGUUUGGCACCUCGAUGUCGGCUCAUCACAUCCUGGGGCUGAAGUAGGUCCCAAGGGUAUGGCUGUUCGCCAUUUAAAGUGGUACGCGAGCUGGGUUUAGAACGUCGUGAGACAGUUCGGUCCCUAUCUGCCGUGGGCGCUGGAGAACUGAGGGGGGCUGCUCCUAGUACGAGAGGACCGGAGUGGACGCAUCACUGGUGUUCGGGUUGUCAUGCCAAUGGCACUGCCCGGUAGCUAAAUGCGGAAGAGAUAAGUGCUGAAAGCAUCUAAGCACGAAACUUGCCCCGAGAUGAGUUCUCCCUGACCCUUUAAGGGUCCUGAAGGAACGUUGAAGACGACGACGUUGAUAGGCCGGGUGUGUAAGCGCAGCGAUGCGUUGAGCUAACCGGUACUAAUGAACCGUGAGGCUUAACCUUACAACGCCGAAGCUGUU